GAUUUCUGGUUUGAUUUGCCUGUCCCGCCACGGUAACGUGUGUGAGUGACGGUUGUGAAUCGGCCAUCCUUCUAGAUAGCUGCGUUGGUGCAAAUCAGCGUACGUUGAUCUAGAUCGUUUACUUUGAAAAAAUUAGAGUGUUUCAAGCAGGCUACUUUGCUAUGAAUACAUUAGCAUGGAAUAAUAAUUUAGGACUUCGGUUCUAUUUUGUUGGUUUCUAGGACUGAAGUAAUGAUUGAUAGGGAUAGUUGGGGGUGCUAGUAUUCAGUAAGAAAGGGUGAAAUCUUUGGAUUUACUGAAGACUAACUUAUGCGAAAGCAUU
RNAcentral lists this ribosomal RNA (322 nucleotides) under Allapsidae sp. RNAcentral's name for it is "SSU rRNA". It matches the Rfam family "Eukaryotic small subunit ribosomal RNA", at positions 633 to 955 of the family's 1831-position model. Lineage: Eukaryota; Cercozoa; Glissomonadida; Viridiraptoridae. The record is from RNAcentral.